AAAGAAGAGAAACCAAGGAAGAACAAACCCUAGGUGGGAAAAAUCAAAGAAAAAGUGUUGAAAUUCAAGGAUUUGAUCAAGUAAAGGUAAAAUUUUUUUUAUUUUGCUAGUGAUUUACCUUACCCAUGCAUUUUUUCUUAAUUUUCAUGGUUAAAUUACAUGUUUUCAUGAUAAAAUUAUGGCUGGUCAAAAUGGGUAUUGAGAGAGAAAGAUGUUGGAAUUGUUUGAUUUUGAGUUAUGUUGGUGUUUAGAGUUAGUUAAACAUGUUUAGAAACAAAACAACAAGAAAAGAAUCCAUUUUCCCCAUGAACCUUCAAUGGUCGAAAGUUUCAAGAAGAAAAGUGAAGAUAAAUUUGCCUAAUUGUGUGUUAACUAGUUGUACUUGGUGAAUUGAGGGAUUGGAAAAGAAAUGGAGAAAGUUGGAGUGAAAUUGGAUGCAUUGGCCAAUUUAUUGGAUGAAAAAUCGACUUAGGUCAAUACCGGGUCUAGAUGACUACCUGUGCAUUUUUUAUUUCAUAUCAUGCAUAUAUAUCGAGCCUGAAAUAGCUUACGACUGUUAGACACAAUUUAAUUGGAAUAUGUGCCAUGGAUUAUGGCUAAGUGGUGAGCCAUUAGAUACGGGUAAAGGACUGUAUCCGCGGACUGAAAAUAGGAGUAUAUCGACUCCUAGAACAGUGAGUAAACUUACUAUCGUCUUAAUUAUCUAGAGUAGAUUUAUUUAAUUGUGUGAUUUUAUGAAAAAAUGAUUUAAUUGGAAAAUUAUUGUGUUUUAUGGGAAAAUGAGAUUUUAUAAAAUUUUUACAAAUUUAAUAAUGAUUUCAAAAAUAGAGUAAUUGGAGACCUAUAUUAUGAUUGUGUUGUUUAUCUAUGAUUUUACAUUAAAUGGCUUAUGAUAAAUAUGGGUAUGACUGGUUAUUUUUAUGAUUUCAAGAAUAUGUGAACUGCUUUGAUUUACCUUGAAUGUGUUAAGUGAGCCAUGUCAUACUAUUGUGAUUUUAUUGGUUGAUGGAUUAUAAAUUGGGCACUGCAGUGACGGGGGUUCCGUGGGCCAGCCUAAUUAGAGAGACACGGUUCCCAAUUAUUGAGCUUACCUCGAUUGGAGAGGCGCGUAGGAUAACUCUCGAGGUAGGAUUUGAGUACACUUCACGCUGGCCACCACGUGAAACUGGGACUCAGCCAAUGCCGAGGAACGGCUGUGUUGUCAGAGGUGAAAUGUGUUUGUGUGUGUGACAAUAAACAGCCUUGGCGGUCUCGGUAAGAUGCCUUCGCGGGGUAUCCCCGAGAAUGGAUUUUUGGCAAGGGCCAAGUUUUUGAAAAGUGCAUAAGCCAUGUUGAGUAAUUGGAUGAAAUCCAAUAAUUUAUAUGGGUUGGGAUGAAUUAUUUUAAUUGUCUCCUAUUACUCGGCUUUAGAUUAUUUUGAUGAUGUCUGUCUACUCACUAGGAUUUUAUAAUCUCACCCCUUAUUCCUAUCCAUUUUUCAGGCUCAAGACAAUUUGUUGAUAGUUGAUUAAGACGAGAAUUAAUCUCGGAGUUGCAUCUUAGAAAGUAAGGGCUCGUAACCCUACAUUUUCUUAGUCAGUUGGGGGCCCACGUGUCACUGUAAAAGUAAUUUUAUUCUUCAGUUAUUUAAUUUAAAAUAUGUAUGAAUAUAUUUAGCUUUUACACCAUGUUUUUGGCAAGUUUCGGUAUUUUCGAAGAAAAAUGACGAAAAUACCCCUGUGAGCCAGAAAAUAAUAUUUUAUUGUUUUGAUUUAGAAAUGACUUAUGAUUUUUUUUUAAAUGUGAGAUUUAAUAACUGUCGCUCACUGGGGAGAUGCAGAAGCUGAUGCUAAGCCUUGCGGGGUUUCAAUCGACAUUCGGGGUAAUGAGUGCCUAUCGGGAUGUCGCGGCGGUUGUCACAGGCUCGAUGGGAGUUCCGGG
This 1920-nucleotide long non-coding RNA is filed under the name Theobroma cacao (cacao). RNAcentral describes it as "long non-coding RNA (TCAC_LNC005792)". Lineage: Eukaryota; Viridiplantae; Streptophyta; Magnoliopsida; Malvales; Malvaceae. The record is from RNAcentral.